This 497-nucleotide ribosomal RNA is filed under the name uncultured bacterium. RNAcentral's name for it is "partial 16S ribosomal RNA". It matches the Rfam family "Bacterial small subunit ribosomal RNA", at positions 28 to 507 of the family's 1533-position model. The record is from RNAcentral.
GACGAACGCUGGCGGCGUGCCUAAUACAUGCAAGUUGAGCGCUGAAGGCUGGUUCUUGUACCAACUGCAUGAGCCGCGCACGGGUGAGUAACGCGUGGGGAAUCUGCCUGUGUGCGGGGGACAACAUUUGGAAACGAACGCUAAUACCGCAUAAAAACUUUAAACACAAGUUUUAAGUGUGAAAGAUGCAAUUGCAUCACUCAAUGAUGAUCCCGCGUUGUAUUAGCUUGUUGGUGAGGUAAAGGCGCACUAAGGCGAUGAUGCAUAGCCGACCUGAGAGGGUGAUCAGCCGGCUUGAGACGGUGACACGGCCCAAACUGCUACAGAAGGCAGCAGUAGUGCAUCGUCGGCCAGGAGCGAGAAACUGACCGAACUACGCCGCGUGAGUGAAGAAGGAUUUCGGGUGGGAAAACUCUGUUUGUAGGGAAGAACGUUGGUUAGCGUGGAACGAACAGCAAGUGACGGUAACGACUCAGAAAGCGACGGCUAACUACGUG